GACGAACGCUGGCGGCGUGCCUAAUACAUGCAAGUAGAAUGCUGAAGAGAGGAGCUUCCUCUUCUUGGAUGAGUUGCGAACGGGUGAGUAACGCGUAGGUAACCUGCCUUGUAGCGGGGGAUAACUAUGGGAAACGAUAGCUAAUACCGCAUAACAAUGGAUUACACAUGUCAUUUAUUUGAAAGGGGCAAUUGCUCCACUACAAGAUGGACCUGCGUUGUAUUAGCUAGUAGGUGAGGUAAUGGCUCACCUAGGCGACGAUACAUAGCCGACCUGAGCGGGUGAUCGGCCACACUGGGACUGGGACACGGCCCAGACUCCUACGGGAGGCAGCAGUAGGGAAUCUUCGGCAAUGGGGGCAACCCUGACCGAGCAACGCCGCGUGAGUGAAGAAGGUUGUCGGAUCGGAAAGCUCUGUUGUAAGUCAAGAACGGGGGUGAGAGUGGAAAGUUCACACUGUGACGGUAGCUUACCAGAAAGGGACGGCUAACUACGUG
Molecule: ribosomal RNA, 497 nt
Filed under: uncultured bacterium
Lineage: Bacteria
Description: partial 16S ribosomal RNA
Rfam family: Bacterial small subunit ribosomal RNA
Source: RNAcentral